CCUACGGGAGGCAGCAGUGGGGAAUAUUGCACAAUGGGGGAAACCCUGAUGCAGCGACGCCGCGUGAGUGAAGAAGUAUUUCGGUACGUAAAGCUCUAUCAGCAGGGAAGAAAAUGACGGUACCUGACUAAGAAGCCCCGGCUAACUACGUGCCAGCAGCCGCGGUAAUACGUAGGGGGCAAGCGUUAUCCGGAUUUACUGGGUGUAAAGGGAUCGUAGACGGCAGCGCAAGUCUGGAGUGAAAUCCCAUGGCUUAACCAUGGAACUGCUUUGGAAACUGUGCAGCUAGAGUGCAGGAGAGGUAAGCGGAAUUCCUAGUGUAGCGGUGAAAUGCGUAGAUAUUAGGAGGAACACCAGUGGCGAAGGCGGCUUACUGGACUGUAACUGACGUUGAGGCUCGAAAGCGUGGGGAGCAAACAGGAUUAGAUACCCCAGUAGUC
This 440-nucleotide ribosomal RNA is filed under the name uncultured bacterium. Its description in RNAcentral is "partial 16S ribosomal RNA". It matches the Rfam family "Bacterial small subunit ribosomal RNA", at positions 338 to 795 of the family's 1533-position model. The record is from RNAcentral.